AGGGGAGGGCCGGAUCUUGGGCUGUAUCCCCCAGCUCCCUUGGCUCCGGGGCCUGCACCGCUGGAAUCGCGCUCCAGGGGCAACGCAGCCCCCU
Molecule: microRNA precursor, 94 nt
Filed under: Canis lupus familiaris (dog)
Lineage: Eukaryota; Metazoa; Chordata; Mammalia; Carnivora; Canidae
Also listed under: 1 other name
Description: mir-8799 microRNA precursor family
Rfam family: mir-8799 microRNA precursor family
Source: Rfam by way of RNAcentral